GACGAACGCUGGCGGCGUGCCUAAUACAUGCAAGUCGAGCGAAGUUUUUCUGGUGCUUGCACUAGAAAAACUUAGCGGCGAACGGGUGAGUAACACGUAAAGAACCUGCCUCAUAGACUGGGACAACUAUUGGAAACGAUAGCUAAUACCGGAUAACAGUAUUUCUCGCAUGAGAGAUAUUUAAAAGUUGGUUAUGCUAACACUAUGAGAUGGCUUUGCGGUGCAUUAGCUAGUUGGUGGGGUAAAGGCCCACCAAGGCGACGAUGCAUAGCCGACCUGAGAGGGUGAUCGGCCACACUGGGACUGAGACACGGCCCAGACUCCUACGGGAGGCAGCAGUAGGGAAUCUUCCGCAAUGGGCGAAAGCCUGACGGAGCAACGCCGCGUGAGUGAAGAAGGAUUUCGGUUCGUAAAGCUCUGUUGUUAGGGAAGAAUGGAUAUGUAGUAACUAUCCAUGUAAGAGACGGUACCUAACCAGAAAGCCACGGCUAACUACGUG
This 499-nucleotide ribosomal RNA is filed under the name uncultured bacterium. RNAcentral describes it as "partial 16S ribosomal RNA". It matches the Rfam family "Bacterial small subunit ribosomal RNA", at positions 28 to 507 of the family's 1533-position model. The record is from RNAcentral.